Molecule: ribosomal RNA, 301 nt
Filed under: uncultured bacterium
Lineage: Bacteria
Description: partial 16S ribosomal RNA
Rfam family: Bacterial small subunit ribosomal RNA
Source: RNAcentral
CAGUAGCCGCGGGAAUACGAGGGGGGCAAGCGUUGUUCGGAAUUAUUGGGCGUAAAGGGUGCGUAGGCGGUUUGAUAAGUCUUGUGUGAAAUCUAUGGGCUCAACCCAUAGUCUGCAUAGGAAACUGUCGGGCUUGAGAGUGGGAGAGGUGAGUGGAAUUUCCGGUGUAGCGGUGAAAUGCGUAGAUAUCGGAGGGAACACCUGUGGCGAAAGCGGCUCACUGGACCAUUUCUGACGCUGAUGCACGAAAGCUAGGGGAGCAAACAGGAUUAGAUACCCCCGUAGUCCCUGUCUCUUAUAC